Molecule: ribosomal RNA, 467 nt
Filed under: uncultured bacterium
Lineage: Bacteria
Description: partial 16S ribosomal RNA
Rfam family: Bacterial small subunit ribosomal RNA
Source: RNAcentral
GACGAACGCUGGCGGCGUGCUUAACACAUGCAAGUCGAACGGAAAGGCCCUGCUUUUGUGGGGUGCUCGAGUGGCGAACGGGUGAGUAACACGUGAGUAACCUGCCCUUGACUUUGGGAUAACUUCAGGAAACUGGGGCUAAUACCGGAUAGGAGCUCCUGCUGCAUGGUGGGGGUUGGAAAGUUUCGGCGGUUGGGGAUGGAAUCGCGGCUUAUCAGCUUGUUGGUGGGGUAGUGGCUUACCAAGGCUUUGACGGGUAGCCGGCCUGAGAGGGUGACCGGCCACAUUGGGACUGAGAUACGGCCCAGACUCCUACGGGAGGCAGCAGUGGGGAAUAUUGCACAAUGGGCGGAAGCCUGAUGCAGCAACGCCGCGUGCGGGAUGACGGCCUUCGGGUUGUAAACCGCUUUCGCCUGUGACGAAGCGUGAGUGACGGUAAUGGGUAAAGAAGCACCGGCUAACUACGU